Long non-coding RNA from Populus euphratica (Euphrates poplar), 431 nucleotides. RefSeq lists it as uncharacterized. The transcript is spliced from 2 exons. NCBI's taxonomy places the organism in Eukaryota, Viridiplantae, Streptophyta, Magnoliopsida, Malpighiales, Salicaceae. The record is from RefSeq and is a predicted model, not a curated record.
AACCGCGGUCCGUUUUCAACGCCCUCGCAGGAAACCGCGUUGGCCUAUUGAAAGAUACUCCACCCGCCGCCUAGAAAAACACGGACGCCUCCCUCUCGAUGCGAAAACCAAUGAGAUCUUUUGCUCUUUCCAGUUUUCAAAGACGUUGGACACCGAGAACUAUUCAAUCAACACCUUUCAAUUUCACCUACUCGCACCAACGAAGCAUGUUGUUGUGUUCCCUACAUCAGUUGUCUACUGGACCACCAUGGUCAGACCAUGACUGAUGAACAGAGAAGGCGAGUCUCUAUCAGUCCAAAGGUGCCUUGGAUAGCUGCGCUAGUCUGGUUCACAUGCAGUUCAAUCAUCGAUGACAUUGUCACUCGUUAAUAAGGAAGAAAAUAAGCUGUAAGAUCUUAAAAAAUAACAGUACUCUCCUAUUAUUUUGUGAU